This 686-nucleotide ribosomal RNA is filed under the name Odontacolus sp. M290. Its description in RNAcentral is "eukaryotic LSU rRNA". It matches the Rfam family "Eukaryotic large subunit ribosomal RNA", at positions 386 to 853 of the family's 3401-position model. Lineage: Eukaryota; Metazoa; Arthropoda; Insecta; Hymenoptera; Scelionidae. The record is from RNAcentral.
CCCGAAAGAUCGAAAGAAGAGAUUCAUCGUCAGUGUGAUUGGAACUCAUGUGUUUCGCGAUGUGUCGAGUCUUCGGAUUCGAUUCACGCAAGCACUGUGUAGUAUAUCUGAUUAUGCCGGCGUGCACUUCUCUUCUAGUAGAACGUUGCGACCCGCUGGGUGUUGGCUUAAGGACCAAAUUAUUGACUGUUUCAAACGUUUGCGCGUAUUGUUAACAGAUAUUUGGAUUUCUGGCUGACUGCCCGGCGGUACACACAAGGUAUUGAGCCGCAAAUUUGAAUGCGUUCAGACUCGUUGCAAGCUUAAUCAUCAAAUAACCUGGAUGACGGACCUCGCGCCGUUUUUGGGAGUGAUUGGCUGUUGGUUGACGAUGUUCUCGAACUGGCUGAGUUGAAUAAACAACAAUACCGGUCGGCGACGCUAUUGCUUUGGGUACUUUCAGGACCCGUCUUGAAACACGGACCAAGGAGUCUAACAUGUGCGCGAGUCAUUGGGAUUUUUGAAACCUAAAGGCGCAUUGAAAGAAAAGAUCAACCUUGUGUUGAGUGAGGGAGGAUGGGCAAUAUGAAAAUAUUGCUUCGCACUCCCGGGGUGUCUCAUAAAGUCAUUGCGACUUGAGGCGCACCUAGAGCGUACACGUUGGGAACCCGAAAAGAUGGUGAACUAUGCCUGGUCAGGAUGAAGUC